This 230-nucleotide long non-coding RNA is filed under the name Manihot esculenta (cassava). RNAcentral's name for it is "long non-coding RNA (MESC_LNC007390)". The record is from RNAcentral. Lineage: Eukaryota; Viridiplantae; Streptophyta; Magnoliopsida; Malpighiales; Euphorbiaceae.
UCAUCUACAUAUUUGCCAAUAGAAAAUGACACUUUACAUUGCUUGGUUACCUUUGCCUCGCCGCUAUCAUUCAACCACUGAAGUCUGUAAGGAUUAGGGUGUUUAAUAGUUUCUAGUCCUAAUUUAUCAACUAAAAUAGUACUAGCACAAUUAACUUGACUACCCGAAUCUAUUAUCAUGCUACAGACUUUACCACCAACCAAACAACGAGUGUGAAAGAUGUUUUCACG